CCUACGGGAGACAGCAGUGAGGAAUAUUGGUCAAUGGACGAGAGUCUGAACCAGCCAAGUAGCGUGAAGGAUGACUGCCCUAUGGGUUGUAAACCUCUUUUAUAAAGGAAUAAAACGAGGCACGCGUGCCUUUUUGCGUGUACCUUAUGAAUAAGCAUCGGCUAACUCCGUGCCAGCAGCCGCGGUAAUACGGAGGAUCCGAGCGUUAUCCGGAUUUAUUGGGUUUAAAGGGUGCGUAGAUGGGUUGUUAAGUCAGUUGUGAAAGUUUGCGGCUCAACCGUAUUAUUGCAGUUGAUACUGGCAGUCUUGAGUACAGUUGAAGUAUGCGGAAUGCGUGGUGUAGCGGUGAAAUGCUUAGAUAUCACGAAGAACCCCGAUUGCGAAGGCAGCUUACUAGACGUUGACUGACAUUGAUGCACGAAAGUGUGGGUAUCGAACAGGAUUAGAUACCCUGGUAGUC
This 460-nucleotide ribosomal RNA is filed under the name uncultured bacterium. RNAcentral's name for it is "partial 16S ribosomal RNA". It matches the Rfam family "Bacterial small subunit ribosomal RNA", at positions 338 to 795 of the family's 1533-position model. The record is from RNAcentral.